Molecule: non-coding RNA, 60 nt
Organism: Pristionchus pacificus
Lineage: Eukaryota; Metazoa; Nematoda; Chromadorea; Rhabditida; Neodiplogasteridae
Source: Rfam
GUCCUCAAACAUUCUGGUAUUUCGCAAAUUGAAAAGCGAUACCAGUCUGGAUGAGGCUGA